RNAcentral lists this non-coding RNA (131 nucleotides) under Cryptomonas paramaecium. Lineage: Eukaryota; Cryptophyceae; Cryptomonadales; Cryptomonadaceae. The record is from RNAcentral.
GUUGGCGAAGACGACCUUGAGUAAGAGCUGAACAAGGCAAGGGCGGUGGAGACGUUCGUCGAAGCACAGUUAUGCAAAUGGCGGCUGGAUCCUCGGAUCUAUGAACGCUAACUCAACGGGGCUUAUGUUCC